UAUUUAUUAAUUUGUUUGUCCUUUAUUAAUUUUUUUUGGGGGGGGAGAUUAGCCCUGAGCUAACAUCUGCUGCCAAUCCCCCUCUUUUUGCUGAGGAAGCCUCGCCCUGAGCUAACAUUCAUGCCCAUCUUCCUCUACUUUAUAUGUGGGAUGCCUACCACAGCAUGGCAUGCCAAGAGGUGCCAUGUCCGCACCCGGGAUCCGAACUGGUGAACCCCAGGCGGCCGAAGCUGAAUGUGUGCACUUAACUGCUGCGCCACCAGGCUGGCUCCAAUCCUUUAUUAUUAUUUAUUUCACUUAGCACAAUGUCUUCAAGGUUCGUCUAUGUUGUAGCAGGUGUCAGAAUUUUACCUUCCAGACUCAUCUCCCUCUGGGCCCUACCACCACCUUUGCUGUUCCAGCCAGGCUGAUCUGUUGUCUCCCAAAUAUGCCUUACACAUGCCUGCCUCUGACCCUUGGCUCAUUCCAUUUUUCCCUUCUGGAAUGUUCUUCCUUUGUUCUUACUUGCUCAAGCCCUGCUCCUGCCUUAGAGCUCGGCUCAAACCUGACGCCUUGGGGAAGCAUUCCUGAAUGACACCUUUAUCCCUGGAGGCGGCUUUCUCUCCCCUGGGUCCCACAGCACUUACAAUCUGCACCCAGCACUCAGGGCCAAUACCCUCUGCGAGCACCCAGCUUCCCAGCCACCCGCGGGCUCUUGCAGGAAGACCUGGUGUUGCUUCCGUGGGACACCUACUGAAAUCCCCACCAGGCCACGUGUGCUGCCGGUGCCUGAGAAGAAGAUGGGAACGGCAUGGAUCACAGCAUAAUUUGUCCCAAGCUCCCCCGGCACGUUCAGGCCACUUCAGUCGGCACUUACUGUGCCCACCAGCCCAGUCAGCGCUGGGGACAGCUUCAGCCUGAAGAGGGCACAGCUCAGCUCUGAAGACCAAGAGGCACCAGUUCAGACUCGAGCUGGGCCACUCAGUGGCUGUGGGACCCUGGUCAGCCUCGAUUUCUUCAUCUGUGAAGUGGGCAGACACUGUGGCCUUCUGGGGCAGUGGGAGUAGCUGCUGGAGACCCCGCGUGAAGUGUCUGCCAUGGUCCUGAACUCUGAAAGGUCGCAGUACGCUGCGGAAGUAGGCAAAUCCACUUUGAAAAACUGAAGACAAUCCAGCUGUGUACGAAGGAAAAUAUAAAAGCUCCUCUCUCCUCCACUCGCCCCCCGGCAGCCCCUGGAGAAGAAACCAGGCCAGGAAGAAAUUGUCGGUCUUAGAAAAAGAACUUUUUUUCCACAGCUAGAUUCCACCCAAAGGAAGUUGGCCUCGUGGCUCUUGACGCCCUGUCCUCUCUCAUUUCUGUCACUGUACUUGUCCUCAACAAGGAUGGUUUCUGCCUGGUACGGUCCCCCAGCUCCAGUUACUCCCCCGUGCUUACGGCCUGGCCGUGUUCACAGCUCUGGUGGGAUGGCUCCUGUCCACAGGACGCCCACGGUCCCCACACCGGAAGGCCUGCUCCACCCCCCAGGGGCUGCCCAGCGUCCACAGCUGACCUCAGCCCUUCCUUCCCGGAGGCCUUGCCUCUCCUGGACUCUGACCCACACGUGGCCUGGGUCAAAGCCUGCAUUCAGCAGCCACUGGAACUUCCCACCUGGAAAGGCUGGAUUGAA
RNAcentral lists this long non-coding RNA (1645 nucleotides) under Equus caballus (horse). RNAcentral describes it as "lncRNA (ENSECAG00000052699.1)". The record is from RNAcentral. Lineage: Eukaryota; Metazoa; Chordata; Mammalia; Perissodactyla; Equidae.